This 12408-nucleotide long non-coding RNA is filed under the name Medicago truncatula (barrel medic). Its description in RNAcentral is "long non-coding RNA (MTRU_LNC000793)". The record is from RNAcentral. Lineage: Eukaryota; Viridiplantae; Streptophyta; Magnoliopsida; Fabales; Fabaceae.
CCUGAAUCAAAAAUCAUUUCAUAGUAAGUAUUAGAGUGAAGCAUCAAUGUAAUAUUUGUAUAUCUUUGCAUAGGUAUAUGUAUGUAUUAACUAACUAAUGAGAUGUAUAAAUUUAUUCAAAAUUGAAUACCUGUUAAUAGCAUCUGUGAAUAUUGUAAGUUGAUCCAAUGUCCCGUGAACAUCGAAAAUGUCGUCAAUAACAUAAAUUAAAGAGAUGGGUUUUGUGAGCUCAAUCCUUUGUUCUGAAAAGUUUGGAUCUGUAAAGCAUGCCAUAGGCCAUGUGUACCAUUUCAGAGGUUGAUACCCUGAAAACUUCACCUCCUUGUCUAGUCCAAGUUCUUUCCACCAUCUAUUAAAUGAGGGUAUAGUUACGUUAGUUACCCCUAUGUAAAAUUUGAAUAAUUAUAAAGUCAACAUCUAUUUUUAACCAGAAAACAUACUUGGAAACUUCAAUGGUUUCAUUCUGGUUCAUGAACCUAACUAUGCCAGAAUUGAUUUUAGCAAGUUCCUCUAAACAUAUCAAAUCCUUCUCAGCCUUCAAAUCAUGCAUGAAUGUGUUUUUAUCCAUAAAUCUUGACAAUCCAUAGUGAAGUGGAUUCUGAAGAGUGUUUGCAACAUAUAAAGCAUCCUUAUGUUCUUGGUUUCUUGACAACCAUGCAUGUAGAAGCUCACAGCAGAGAUAUCCUACAUCGUUAAGACUAUCUUCUCCUUCAAUACUUAGUUGCGAUGCUUCGUAAAGGGCAAUGAGACCUUUCACAUCCUCACCAUGUUUUUCUUCAAACAUUCUUUUGUUACACUUCAAGCUGUCAAAUAAAUCUACACAACAAUUAUAGUUAGUCAUUUUAUUACUAAAUAUAUAUAUUCAAUUUUGGAGAGGAUCUGUAUUAAACAAACCUGCAUUUACGUAAUGGCCUCCUUGUCUCAGCAAGCGGAAUGCAAGUGCAACUUCAUAGAGUUCAUGGCUACUCACAAAAUCAAUUAUAGGAUUGGUGUUCAAUAUCAAAUGCAGAUUUUCAAGAGCCACUUUUAUUUCCUCAGCAAAAUAGUGCUCAAUACCAAACCUUUGGAUAAUAUCCAUCAAAUAAAAACUCUCCAUCGGAUCUUCGAUUUUAACAAGUUUCUUAUAAACUUGCUUAAAUAUUAAAGCUUGUUUGACAUAUACAACAUCCUAAAAUUGUAAGAGUGCAGAUUGAUCAGAAUAUUGAAAUAAAGCUAUAUAUGUUGUAACUAAAUUUAGAAUAGCUGUAUAUAUUCGUACUUCAAUUAAAAUACUUACCAUUCUAGAAAUUAAUGCUUUGAUAGUAAAUUAAAACAGACUCGCACUAGUACAGAAAACACUUUUUAAAUCAGGUAAAAAUGACUUUUUAAAUCGGUUCAAGAUCCGACUUAUAGGUGGCCGAUUUAAAAAACUGUCUUUGAUAGCUGGGGAUAUUGUUAAGAUAUGAAGUGGUUUGCUAUAGCUCAAGAAAGAUGGUUAUUUAUAGCUGAACAUUGCACAUAGUUGAUAUUUGUUAGUUUGAGCUACUGAAUGAUUGAAGGUCAGCAUAUGUAUGCUGCAUAUGUGUAUUGUAAGACAUUAAUUUAUUAGUUAUAGUUUGCCAAUGCUUGUUAUAGUAUGUUGCAUAUGUGUAUUGUAACACAUUAUUUUAUUAGUAGUUUUUCUUUUGUAAGACAUUAAUUUAUUAGUUAUAGUUUUCCAAUGCUUGUUAUAGUAUGCUGCAUAUGUGUAUUGUAACAUAUUAUUUUAUUAGUUAUAGUUGGGCAAUGCUUGUUAUAGUAUGUUGCUGAUGUGCUGUUGUCUAUUCAUGACUAUUUAACAUUAAUUAAAUAACAACGAUUAAUUUAAAGGAGAACAUGUUUCUUAUAUUCCAUGUUUAUUUUGUGAGGAACUUUAGAUCAAUCUUAAUUUAUUGCUUAUAUAUAUUGAACGUCCAAAUGUAAUAUAAUAUGUUUAGUCGAUCGUGCAAGUAGUAAAGGUCAAGAAGCCACGUUGGUUCAUUUUUCUUCAUUUUUUGGUAAACACGUGAUUGUAUGCAGCUUGGGACACGAUACUAAAUAUGGACACUUCUUACAAUUCAAAUUUGAAUUUUAUCCCGUCAUGCUGUGAGAGGCUAAGCGCUUGUGCUUUACCAAACUUCCUUUGUUUUUUUCUUUUUCUUAUAAAAUAGUAGUAAUAUGUUGAAUCAAGAAUGACAUAUUAAAAACUUAUUUGGUGUUGGUUUCAAGAAUGACAUAUUUUUAAUUUCGAGAAUAGUAUAACUACAUAGAUUAAAUUUGAAGAAUUCAUAUAAACCUCUUCAAUUCCAGUUUUGAGUUCCUCCAAAUCAGGAGGAUUUUGUAUUACGAAGAAAAUGAACCCUUCGAAGUCUUUUACUCUCAAUGUCAUCUAUUUAUUCCUCCCGGAUCUUCCUUUUUCUCCAAACCUCUCCCCUCCCUUCCCCCAAACUCGCAAACAAUGCCUCGAUGAAUUAGAGAGAAAGAAGUAUAUGAAAGACACUUGUUAUUAAAUUAGAGAGAAAGAAGUAUAUGAAAUACACUUGUUAUUGAAUGACAUUGUUGAGGGAAGAAGUGGUUGUUAAAACUGUGUAUUACCCCUUUUAUAGAGGAGGAUAACAUUCACUAACCGUAGUUACUUGUAUGGCAAGUAACCAUUCAAAUUAACAACCUUGUAAGCAACAUCUACUUCCUAUUUUCUAGUUUGAAUUACAAUCAACAGAAAUAAAAAACACUAACUCAAGAAUCAAUAAUUGUGCUUUGUUUGAUUUUCAAGGUGGAUUUCGAGAAAGCCUAUGAUUCGGUGGAUUGGAGUUUUUUAGAGUGUCCGAAUUGGGUGGCUUGAAUGAAGGUGUGUGUGUGGGGGGGAAGUAUGUCGAUCCUUGUCAAUGGUAGCCCUACAAAGGAGAUUAAUAUUAAAAGAGGCCUUAAACAAGGAGAUCCCUUAGCUCCUUUUCUCUUUUUGCUAGUGGCGGAAGACUUUAGUAGGGUAAUGAGGAAUGUGGUUUCACUUAAUCUCUUUUAAGGGUUUGAGUUUAGAAGAAAUGGUUUAGUGGUUUCUCACCUACAAUAUGCCGAUGUCACUCUUUGUAUUGGUAAGGCAAUGGUUGAUAAUCUUUGAUCCUUGAAGACGGUGUUAAGAGGUUUUGAGACGGCGUCGCGUCUUAAGAUUAAUUUUUUUAAGAGAUGUUUGAUUGGUGUUAAUGUUCCAAAUGAUAUUUUGGAAAUGGCUUGUAAUUUCUUGAUUAUUUGGGGUUACCGGUUGGAGCUAAUCCGAGAAGUUUCAUGACUUGGGAGCCGUUGGUGGAGCAUUUGGGAAUCUUGGGGGGCAUAAAUACAUUAGUUUGGGAGGUAGGAUUAUCCUCCUAAAUUCGGUGUUAAAUGUGAUUCCUAUUUUCUACUUGUCUUUCUUGAAGAUGCCAGUGAAAGCUUGGCGGAGAAUAGUGAGAAUUCAAAGAGAAUUCCUUUGGGGAGGUGUGGGAGCCGGUAGAAAGAUUAGUUGGGUGAGAUGGAAAUGGGUUUGUCAACACAAGGAUAUAAUGGUGGUCUAGGUGUGCGCGAUGUUAGAAUCCUAAAUGUUAGGUUGUUGGCAAAGUGGAAGUGGAGGUUGUUGGAUGGGGAAGAAGCCUUAUGGAAGAAUGUUUUGGUGGAGAUAUAUGGUCCAAGUAUUACUAGGAUGUUGGAUGGUGGGAUGACUUAAAAUUGGAGGUGUGCUUCUCUUUGGUGGAAGGAUGUGGUAAAUUUAGAAAACUUUGGUGCCCAAGGGUGGUUUAAUUUGGAGUUAACUAGAAUCAUUGGCAAUGGAAGGAACUCUAGUUUUUGGAAUAUUAAGUGGCGAGGGGAUACAACUUUUAGGAGUAAAUACCCAAGACUCUUCUCGAUUUCAAACCAAAAAGAAUCGAUGGUAGGUGAUAUAGGGGAGGUGGUAGGCUCUUCAACGGAGUCGCGUUUUGAGUGGAGGCGGGACAUUUUUGAUUGGGAGGAGCAACUCUUCCAAAUCUAUUGCUAGAUUUGGAAGGUAUGUUUUGGUCUCAUGAGGAAGAUAGGUGGAAGUGGGGUUUGGAGGAGUCGGGGAUGUUUUCCGUUAAGUCAUCAUAUGGAAAAUUAGAGGGCAUUGUGUUGACGGAAGAUUUCUGGAGUGAGACGGACAAAAGAGUGUUUAGAAAAAUAUGGAAAAGUCCGGCACCUUCGAGGGUGGUGGCUUUCUCAUGGAAGCUCCUUUAUGAUAGAAUUCCAACAAAGGUUAAUCUCGCGGUUAGGAAUGUCUUACCCAUGGAGGCUUCUCGGUUGUGAGCUUUAUGUGAAAGGGUGGAUGAAUCCUCAACUCACCUUUUCCUUCAUUGUGAUGUAGCAGGUAGGGUGUGGCAAGGUAUUAUGCGGUGGUGGGAGAGGAUUCUCUUAAUUCCGCCUAAUUUAUUUGUGCAUUGGGAGUGUUGGGUUAGGGUGUGCGGAAUAAGAAAAUUUGUAAGGGCCUAAGACUCAUUUGGCAUGCAACGAUGUGGGUGUUGUGGAUUGCGAGGAACAAUAAAGUGUUUAAUACCCGGAACCCGGAUGUGGACGAAAUUGUGCAUGACAUCAAGAUUUUGCCGUGGCGUUGGUCUUUGUAGAGAAUCCCUAUGCCUACGUGCAUGUACUAUGAAUGGUGUUGGUGCUCAACGGAAUGUCUUUUGCGGCUGGUUUAGCUGGUAGGGGCUGGUUCGGUCUAGUGAGAGGGGGGCUGUUGUUAGUUUUCUAUAGCAGCUGCUGUUUGGUGCUGCGGUGUCUGCUAUUGUGCCCGAACAGCUGCUGUGGGGCAUCUGUUUUUGCUGUUCUGCUCUCGGCUCUGGGAGUGUUGGUGCGGUUGUGUGAGUCUGUGUAUAGUUUGAGCAAUGGCUGUGUAUUUUGGUGGUGUUUUGACUGGAUUACAGGCACAUAGCUUUUGCUUCUGUCACCUUGACAACAUGGUAUAAGAUUCAUUUUUUUUUUUGGCUUUCGCACCGGUUUCCGACCCACCAAAGGUGGGCGACUAAUCCGGCUCGUGCGUAGAGGCAUGCAUACUGGCCAAGCGUUGUUUCCCCUGGGAAUCGAACCCAGUAUUCCCCGGGUGCGUUCUUGAAAGGAGCUCCUUGCCACUGGAGCACAAGCAACUUAGUUGGUAUAAGAUUCAUUUUAGUCAUGUGGCACAAGAACUGUUUCUUUUUUUCUCAGAAAGGAAUUUUACACAAAAAUUAUCUGUCUGAUAGUAAAAAUAACAACCAAAUAACACCGUUAGUCUGAACAUCAUAGGAGAAGAAACAUCCGCUCUCAUUAUCGGUCCCUCACUUUCCCUUAUUUUUGUCAUGAUUACUUUUCUUUAUCAUCUUACUCCUACCACUGUGAUAUUAAAAAAGCAUUGUUGAUGGUUCUUCGUGACGUUAAAUAAAUUGGCACCAUUUAGGCAUUUUCCUUCAUAAGUUAGUAAUGCAUCUUCAACUUAUUACUAGUGCCCUGAAUAAUACCUUUUAGAAUUGGUUUCCUUCUUCUAGAUGAAUUCUUAUAUGUAUAUAUUAUGCUUUUGAUAGAAACAUGGCACACUUCACUUUCACCAAUAUUUUCAUUGUUUCUUUCGUAUGGGCCAAAUCAAGGAACCUGUAGGUUGGCUGUAAGAUUAUUUUCGCUAUUAUUUUCUAGAUGACCUUAAUAGUGUAGUUAUCUGUAAGAUUAAGAAAGUCCAAUUGCAAUGCUUAUAAUUUCAUUGAAGUACAAGGUUUGAGUACCAAUAAACAAAUGGGUUAUUAGUACCAAGAGAACCAUGAGAACAAUAUUGCCUAAUUUAAAUUACAAAAUCAAUAUGUUGUACAUAAACAACAGAACACAAUAUCUGAAAAUGUACUAAUUACACCCAACACUAACAUUAAUCAAUGACUUGACAUGUUCCUGGAGAUUAGAGAGGCUUGGGUUGCUCUUAUAGUGGUACAUGAGGGGAACCAUUCUUGCAGCAUUGAGACAAAAGUUGGAAAAUGACGAUGAAAACUGAUUUGCAACCAGAAUUUCUUGAUUGAGACAUUUCCAUUCAUUUGAAAUCAUGUGAGCAACAUGUCUUUGCACGUCUUCACCGGAAAUAUCUUGGUGUUCACUCAUGUAGCAAUCAAGGUAUGACCCAUCAAGACCAUUUUGCUCUCCACUCUGCAUUCAUUCAUGGAUAAUAAUUCUUAUCAUUAGAACUUUACAUUUUACAAUUGCGUUAAUUGGUUGAACAAUUUAAUCAAAUAUUUGUUUAAUAUAAUUUAGGAGACAUAUUUCAUACCUUAGCUCCUUCUAAAUCAUCAGAGAGACGAAGAAUUUUUGCCACUGAAUAUAUGACAUUUGGAAACUUUUCAUCCAAGAUAUCAAUUGUUUUCUUUGUUAUACCAUUAACAUGAUCCAACAGGAAGAAUGCAUGUAUAAGCACAACAUGAACUCCAGUGCUCACGAUUCCAUUAUUCAAGUAAUCCUCUGCUCUUGGCAAGUGUCCAGAAUUCAACCAAUGGGCCUCUUCCAUGAAAGCGUUCAAUAAGAGUAUCCACUGUUUCGCACAAAUAUUUUUAUAUACUCAGUUGUUUGAAAAAAUAAUUUAUAUAUAUGAUGAAAUAAAGAAGACAGAUAGCUAGUGUACCGAUUUUUUGAGAGUGUCUAUAGGGUUAAAUCCAUGCUUUUUGUAGACCAUUUCAGCAAAACUAUUGGUAAUGUCGUAAAGUGCAUUCAAAGCUAUUUUCAUGAAGUUUGGAAGUUGCUCUGUACCAGUGAAUUCCCACCUGAAUUAAAAAAUUGCAUAGUAAGUAUUACUGUAAAGCAUGAAUGUAAUAUUUAUAUAUAUUUGUAUAUAGGAGGUAUAUUUUUUAUAGAUCAUGCGCUACAAACCCUUUGUGGAAAAUUAUGAUAUUAAGCCUCACUUAGUUUAUGACUAUAAUUAUAUAUAUGAAUUAACUAAAUUAUGAGAUGUAUAUAUUUAUUCAAAAUUGAAUACCUGUUAACAGCGUCUGUGAAUAUUGUAAGUUGAUCCAAUGUCGCGUGAACGUCGAAAAUGUCAUCAAUGACAUAAAUUAGAGAGAUAGGUUUGGUGAGCUCAAUCCUUUGUUCUGAAAAGUUUGGAUCUGUAAAGCAUGCCAUGGGCCAUGUGUACCAUUUUAGAGGUUGAUACUCUGAAAACUUCACCUCCUUGGCUAGUCCAAGUUCUUUCCACCAUCUAUCAUUUGAGAGAAUAAUUACAUUAGUGAUUUCUAUCUAAAUUUUGAAUAGUUAUAAGGUCAACAUAGAUUUUUAAUUAGAAAACAUACUUGGAAACUUCAAUGGUCUCAUUCUGAUUCCUGAACCUAACUAUGGUGGAAUUGAUUUUAGCAAGUUCCUCUAAACAUAUCAAAUCCUUCUCAGCCUUCAAAUCAUGGAUGAAUGUGCUUUUAUCCAUAAAUCUUGACAAGCCAUAGUGAAGAGGAUUCUGAAGAGUGUUUACAACAUGUAUAGCUUCAUUAUGUUCUUGGUUUCUUGAUAGCCAAUUAUGUAGAAGCUCACGGCAGAGAUAUCCUACAUCGUUAAGACUAUCUUCUCCGUCAAUACUUAGUUGUGAUGCUUCGUAAAGGGCAAUGAGGCCUUUCAAAUCCUCACCAUGUUUUUCUUCAAACAUUCUUUUGUUGCACUUCAAGCUGUCAAAUAAAUCUACACAACAAUUAUAGUUAGUCACUAUAUUACUAAAUACUCCUAUAGUAAAAUUAUGUAUUCAAAUGUAGAGAGGGUACGAAUUAAACUAACCUGCAUUGACAUAGUGGCCUCCUUGUCUCAGCAAGCGGAAUGCAAGUGAAAAUUCAUAGAGUUCAUGGCUAUUCACAAAAUCAAUAGGAUUGGUGUUCAAUAUCAAAUGUAGCUUUUCAAGAGCCACUUUGAUCUCCUCAGCAAAAUAGUGUUCAAUGCCAAACCUUUGGAUGAUAUCGAUCAAAUAAAAACUCUCCAUCGAAUCUUCGAUUUUAACAAGUUUCUUAUAAACUUGCUUAAAUAUCAAAGCUUGCUUAACAUAUGUAACAUCCUGAAAAAGUCAAAGUGCAGAUUGAUCAGAACAUUGAAAUAAAGCUAUGUUGUAACUAAGUUUAGAAUAACUGUAUAUAUUUGUACUUCAGUUAAAAUACUUACCAUUCUAGAAAUUAAUGCUUUGAUAAUAAAACAGACUUGAUUCGGUGUUUAUAGCUGGGGAUUGUUAAGAUGAUUAUUUUGAAGAAAUGGGAAUGAUAUGUUGAGCUAUUUAUAGUUUAACAUUGCACUCGUUUCAUAUUUGCUCUUUUGAGCUACUGGUAGAUUGAAGGUCAGCAUGUGUAUGCAGCAUGUGCAUUGUAACACAUUAAUUUAUUUAGUUAUAAUAUUGAUGCAUUAUGUCGCUGACUUCAUGUUGUCUAUUCAUGACUUUUCAACACUAAAUAACAAAACAAAUAUUAAUUUAAAGGAGAACAUGUUUCUUUUAUUAAAAUAUAUAAUCAAUGCCCAUUCUUCCACACAAAAAAUGUGCCUUACGUUAAUACUUGUUUAUUUUGUGAGGCACUCUAGAUUGAUCUGAAUUUGUUGGUUUAAUUUAAAGUUUCUAUUGAACAUUCAAAUAUAAUAUAAAGAAUUAUGCAAGAACCACACUCUUUUCAACAAACUCUCUUUAGUUGGUUGGAUUUUAAAUGGGCCUCACUAAAUUAAUGGGAGCUACAUGAUUUAAUAUAACUCAUUUGACUUGCAACAAAUUAGAGAAUGUGUUGGAGAUAGUGUAUUAAAUAGUGUGUUACUAUCGCUCCUCGUAAUGUAUUUGUUUAGAAGAUAAAGUAAAUUGUAAAGGUAAAGAAGCCGCUUUGGUUGAUGUUCUUGAUAAAUUUCUAUAUGAUUUUUCUUUAUGAGAAUGUUAACAACACUCUCUCUAAUACUUACUCUCUUAUUGGUGGGUAAUUUACCUUAAUCAAUGAGCAUUCACCUUUUUAGAUGGUAUCCAUAAACUAUCUUGACCCCACCAAUAAAUUGUUCAUUUUCAUCGGUUGAUGGGUAAAUUACCCAUCAUACUUCAAAGGUAAUCUAGAAAAAACCUUAUGUUAAAUAUCCACGUGAUCGCUACUUUAAGUGGUACUCAUUUCUAAAAUAUUUGACUUAUAUUAAUUUCAUUCAAUAAAAAAUAAGUGUUAGAGCAUAGUGUGUUAGAAUGAAAAUGUUUUUAACAUUUCUCUUUUCUUCACUAUAUAGUAAGAGCAAUGCUAGUAACACAUAUUUUAACACACUUUAAUCGGUUAAAAUUCACAUGGACCCCAAAAAAGACUCCUAAACAUACUCUGCUGAAGCGAAAAAGUGAUUCUAAAUGAAUGCCAAUAUAACAGUGAUUCUAUAAAAUGUUUGGUUCAUAUAUAUAAACAGAAUACAUCACACAAAAAGCAAACAUAUCACAUAUUCAACUAAUUUUCCAUAUCCACAGCUUGAGUUAAAACCUAUGAAGCAUUAACACAUACACGAUCAUGUAACACGUGGACACCGGUAAUAAUUUGAGAAAAUGACAAAAUUGAAUGUAAUUACAUGUGUCGGUAUCAGAAACAAGCAUGUGUCAGACACCGGACACGUCUUCCGUUAGAAGUGUCGGUGUUACAAAGGUCAAUUUAUUUGGGAAAUGGAGAGAGAAAGAAGUAUAUGAAAGACACUUGUUAUUCAAUAACAUUCAAGUUCAGCGAAAAACUCUAACUAACUUCUAGUCUCUAUUAACAACCUUGUAAGCUACAUUACAAGCAACAAUUACUUCCUAUUUUCUACUUUGAAUUACAAUCAACAGAAAGAAAAAACACUAACUCAAGAUUCAAUUACAAGUGCAUCCAUAUUUUGUUUUCCUUCAGGUUAUUUGGUAUAACAUGAUUACACAUAGGAUCCAUAAACAGCACCCCCGUAUUUACCUUGUCAUGAAUCAUUUAUUAUAGAAUGAAAAAUGAUAUUCUGAGACGAAACUUUUAUGCUUUGUUGAUUAAUGAUUAUUAGAACCGAGAUGCAUAUUUUUCCUGUGCUUCACAUGUAGUUAAAAAUUUGCCAAGAACCAUGACCGAUCACCCUGUAAUGAGAGUAAACUCUAAUUUAAUAAUGCUUAUCACCAGGCCCCUGAUUUAAUAACUUCAUUCCUUUAUGGUUUGGUUAGGGUAAGCUUUUAACUUGUUUAAAAUAUUAACAGAGCUAGAAAAACAAAAAUUUCAGCAUAAAAAUUUCAGAACUAGACCCUUAAUGUUAUUUUAUGUUUAGUGCAAAAGGGAAAUGAGGAUCUAAUGAGAUUUUUUAGGUUUUGACUUUUGGUUCUUUGAUUUCAAGCUUGGUAUUACAGACCUUAGUCUGCACUCUGGAAUUUUCAAAUAUUUAGAUAAUUGCAAGUUUAAAGGAGUUUUGUCAACAUGUUGUAACUAGUAAUUGUUUGCCUCCUUCCAUGGAACCAAAACUCAAAGCAAAUGCCCGAGUAAUUUUAAUAACUUCAUUCCUUUAUGGUUUGGUUAGCUCCUUUCUUCUUUGAUGGUCUCUCAGCGUUUCUCUGUUUAACUCUCUCUAAAAUAAGUGAUAUCCGCUGGAAAUGACUUGGAAGCUAUUUAUACCAUGUCUGGUAAGUAACUGCUCACUUAGCCAUGCCCAGGCUCACCGUGGCGAGCGAAGCUUUCUUCACCAAUGGGUUUCUGCCACAUCAGCAAAGUGGCCCUCAAACCACCUUAGCUCCCGUGGCGAGCUCAUGUCUUUCUCAGCCACGCCUUGUUUUUCUGAUUUUCCUUGCUCUCUGUCUACCCUCACUGCAGCUUCGCUAUGGCGAGCCUCUUGGCCAUGACCUCAUUGUGGGCUCGUUGUGGCCAUGGUGACAGCAUCUGAUUUUCUUCACUUUCUGACUUGCCUUCGCUUUGGUCUCGCUUUGAGCUUGCUUAGCAAACCUCUUGACAUAUUUUUCUUUCCUUUUUUAUCUUAAAGUCCAUGGCAAGUGAAUUUUACCUACAUAAAUGUUGGUAUUAGACAUAAAACGCACAUAUUGCUAUUUUUCUAUUAAUUUGGAGCUUUUACAUAGAUAAUUUGCAAAACAAGUUAAUAAGUGCCUUAAUUAUACAUGUGAUUUAUCCAAUUUCUGGCACUUACCAACUCGCAAACAAAACCUUGUUGAAUUAGAGAGAAAGAACUAUAUGAAAUUAAAGACACUUGUUAUUAAAUUAGAGAGAAAGAAGUAUAUGAAAGACACUUAUUAUUGAAUGGAAUUGUUGAGUGAAGAAGUGGUUGUUAAAACUGUGUAUUACUCCUUUUAUAGAGGAGGAUAACACUCACUCACCGUAGUUCCUUGUCAGGCAAGUAACCAUUCAAAUUAACAACCUUGUAAGCACCAUUACAAGAAACAGCUACUUCCUAUUUUAUAGUUUGAAUUACAAUCGAUAGAAAUAAAAAAACACUAACCCAAGAUUCAAUAACUGUGCUUUGGUAUACCACGAUUACACAUAGGCUCCAUAAACAACACCCUGGAAUUUAGCUGGUGAUGAAUCAUUGAAUAGUUCAGAAACAAGCGAGGUUUUGUCUGUCUUGGCUGGGUCAUGAAAUGUUGCUACAGAGAGCCUUGCUCUAUCAUAAUACAAUGCUAGUCAGCCACAUAUCCUAUAAAAGCUUGGUUUCAUGUAUGGAUAUUGUUGUAAACUCAAAAAUCACUAUGAAUGAAAGAUAAUAUUUUGAUAUGAAACUUUUAUUCUUUCAUACAUAGAUACAUGAGCAAACAUCCUAUACAAGCAUGGCAUAUUUUCUUGUGCUUCACGUGAAGUUAUGGGUUUUCUAUGAACCUUGACCCAACCACACUCAACGUCCUUCCUACAAUGAUCUUAAACACAAUCAGAAAAACACAAUUGUUCGCAUGAUUAGUCGUAAUUGAAAGCUUGCCUCGAUGUCUAAAUAAGUAAAUUACAUUAUUGAAUAAUUGACUUGCACUGAUUAAUUGGAUCUCAGUAAUGUGAUGACACUCAGAAACUCUUAGUUUCAUGUACUUUAGUCACCUUGACAACAUGGUAUAAGAUUCAUUUUAGUCAUGUNUUAACAGCGUCUGUGAGUAUUGUAAGUUGGUCCAAUGUCCCGUGAACAUCGAAAAGGUCAUCAAUAACAUAAAUUAAAGAGAUAGGUUUGGUGAGUUCAACCCUUUGUUCUGAAAAGUUUGGAUCUGUAAAGCAUGCCAUGGGCCAUGUGUACCAUUUGAGAGGUUGAUACCCAGAAAACUUCACCUCCUUGGCUAGUCCAAGUUCUUUCCACCAUCUAUCAUUGGAGAGAACAAUUACGUUAGUGAUCUCUAUCUAAAUUUUGAAUAGUUAUAAGGUCAACAUAGAUUUUUAAUUAGAAAAACAUACUUGGAAACCUCAAUGGUCUCAUUCUGAUUCAUGAACCUAACCAUGGUGGAAUUGAUUUUAGCAAGUUCCUCUAAACAUAUCAAAUCCU